GCAAGUCGAACGAAGCAGCAAUGCUUAGUGGCGCAAGGGUGAGGAACACGUGAGUGACCUACCCGCAAGUUUGGAACAGCUCCUGGAAACGGGAAUUAAUACCGGAUGUGAUCGAUGAACUGCAUGGUUUAUUGAUUAAAGCAGCAAUGCGCUUGCGGAUGGGCUCGCGUCCCAUUAGCUAGUUGGUGAGGUAACGGCCCACCAAGGCCAUGAUGGGUAGCUGGUCUGAGAGGACGACCAGCCACACUGGGACUGAGAACUGCCCAGACUCCUACGGGAGGCUGCAGUCGAGAAUUUUGGGCAAUGGACGAAAGUCUGAACCCCCAGCAAUGCCGCGUGCGGGAUGAAGGUCUUCGGAUUGUAAACCGCUGUUUGGAGGGACGAAAAUUGACGGUACUUCCAGAGGAAGCCACGGCUAACUACGUGCCAGCCGCUGC
This 437-nucleotide ribosomal RNA is filed under the name uncultured bacterium. Its description in RNAcentral is "bacterial SSU rRNA". It matches the Rfam family "Bacterial small subunit ribosomal RNA", at positions 57 to 518 of the family's 1533-position model. The record is from RNAcentral.